UGAUGUGGAGCAAAACACAAAAAGACAGUCUCAGUUCAGAUUGUAGGCUGAAACUCGCCUAUAUGAAGUCGGAAUUGCUAGUAAUCGCAGAUCAGCAUGCUGCGGUGAAUACGUUCCCGGGCCUUGUACACACCGCCCGUCACACCAUGAGAGUCGAUAACACCCGAAGCCUGUAGUCUAACCAUAAGGAGGACGCAGUCGAAGGUGGGAUUGAUAAUUAGGGUGAAGUCGUAACAAGGUAGC
This 243-nucleotide ribosomal RNA is filed under the name uncultured bacterium. RNAcentral describes it as "partial 16S ribosomal RNA". It matches the Rfam family "Bacterial small subunit ribosomal RNA", at positions 1258 to 1500 of the family's 1533-position model. The record is from RNAcentral.